This 6691-nucleotide long non-coding RNA is filed under the name Vigna radiata. Its description in RNAcentral is "long non-coding RNA (VRAD_LNC016126)". Lineage: Eukaryota; Viridiplantae; Streptophyta; Magnoliopsida; Fabales; Fabaceae. The record is from RNAcentral.
GGCGGUGGUCAGAUUGGCCUGGACCUGUUUUAUGUUAUUUUUUAUGAUCUAUUUGGGCUUGGGCUUGUUUUAUGUCAUUUUUAUGCCCUAUUUAAAGGACAAAACGUCUUAGGUUUGUAUCUUUUGAUGGCUUAGGCACAAAAACACACUUUUCACCCCUUUGGGGUAGAUUUGAAGAUGGUGACAGCUCUCCUUUUCUCCUUUUUAGGGUUUGUAUCUCUUUCAUUCCAUUCUUCACCUAGUUUCUCCAUGACGACGGGAAACUAAUCUUAUUUGUUGUUGCGGUAACAAUGUAAUCUUUUGAUACUCUCUUUUAUUGAAACUCUUGUUUAUUUAUAUGGUUUCCAUAUGCUUUGAUUAUUAAUUGUUAGGUUCUCAUCUGUGCUUAAUGCUUUUAUCGUUUAACUCAUUUGAUAACUGUUGUUUGUCUUUACUAAUACGGGGACGUACAAUAAUGUCAUUAACUGGUGAGUGAUUCCUUGAUUAAGAAAUACCACCUAGGGAUAGGGGUAGGACGAUCAAUUGUUUUUUCACUUCUGCUCUAUAAUGCAUUAUUAUUUGCUAGGGGAGCCUAGGGAUAGCAAGCCAGUAAUUAGUAAUAGGCUCUUUUCGCCGAGGGAUCGGGUUAAGGGUAGGCCAAGAAAGUUGCAUAACAAUUAGUAAAUCAAGCAAAUAAAUCAAGAGGAGUAAAUAAGAGAGAGCGGAUAAGAUGAAAUUGUAAACCCCCAACAACUCCAUUCAUCCAUCCACUUUUUUGUUUAACCUCAAUUGAUCAAAUUGCAUUCAUGUUUAUUUUUCUGCACUUUAUAAAAAUCCCAAAAUAUUAUUUUUAUUGUCUUGAUUGGUUAAAUAAAAGCACAACAGUUUAGUGUCAUGAGUCUCUUGGGAAAACGAUACUUGGACUUAUCAUUUAUUAUUACUUGAACGAUUUGGUACACUUGCCAAUCCGUUAACAAGUUUUUGGCGCCGUUGUCGGGGACUCAUGGUAGAACUAUUCUAUGUGUGUGAUUCUUGAUCGAUUAGACUUUUUUUUUUAUUUGAUCUUAUUUGAUUUGAUUUGAUUUUAUCUUAUUUUGUUUUAUUUUAUUUUAUCUUAUUUUGUUUCAUUUGAUUUGAUUUGAUUUGAUUUGAUUGGAUUUGAUUUGAUUUGAUUUGAUUUGAUUUGAUUUGAUUUUAUUUUAUUUUAUUUUAUUUUUUUAUCUUUCUGUUUUUAUUUCUUUUCUUUUAAAAAAAACGAAAAUAAAAUAAAAUAAUAUCUUUCCUUAUUCUUCUUUUUAUUCUUCUUCACAUUCUUUUCCUCAUUCUUCUCCUUAUCUUUCCAUCUGUCUACCUUUCUAUCUUUUUAUUUAUUUUUCUUUUUAUGUUUUUUAUUUUAUUUUUUGUUUUUUUUUUCUUUCUUUAUCUUUUCAAAAAAAAGAAACGAAAAUUAAAAAAAAAAUUAUCUUUUACUAUUUUUAUUUUUUUAUUUUUUAUUUUUAUUUUGUUUUUUUGGGCUAAUUUUGUGCUCUAGUGUAGUGUUCUUUAGUGUAUGCAGGAUAAAAUUUUUGGUACUAGGAGCACAAGAUUAUCAGGAGGCACAUAAGGAAGGAGAAUUGGUUCACCAACACCCUGAUGUGAAAAGUGACAAACCCUAAUCUGCCACAUCAAUGAAAUUCAAAAUUAGGUUAUGGGUUGUCAAGACUAUUAAAGCAAGCAGAGCUCUUGAGAUUGAGGAUCCUUAGAGUUGGUGACAAGAAAAUUGUUAGUGUCAUGAAGGAAGGAAGAAUGCCAACGUUAAAAAUCAACACCUACUGAUGGGUGUUUGGGCUUUACCGGGUCAAGCUAAUGACGUUAAAGAAGCGUUUGCUAGGAGGCAACCCAGUUUCUAACCUAGUUUCUGAAUUUUUUUUUAUCUUGUAUUUUGUUUUGAUUUGAUUUUAUUUGAUUUUAUUUGAUUUUAUUUUUUAUUUAUUUUAUUGUUUUAGGGUUUUGUGCUGCUUCUGAUGGCAGUGAUGAUUAGCAUCUACUGAUGGAUGCUAUAUGAUUAGACAUCUACUGAUGGAUGUCACUGACAACAUUUAUUGAUAAAUGCCAUUGGGAUAGCAUCUAUUGGGUGAUGUUAGAAGAUGUAGGUAUCUACUGAAGGAUACCAGGAAGGUACACCUACUGAUGGGUGCUAGAAAGGUUAGGGUCAGGCUCGUGACGUUAAACAAGCGCUACUUGGGAGGCAACCCAGUUUUCUAAACUUAUCUUUUUAAAUUAUGUUAUAUUUGCUUCUGUUUUUAGAAUAGGUAUUGAUGUACNAUAAAUCAAGAGGAGUAAAUAAGAGAGAGCGGAUAAGAUGAAAUUGUAAACCCCCAAAAACUCCAUUCAUGCAUCCACUUUUGUGUUUAACCUCAAUUGAUCAAAUUGCAUUCAUGUUUAUUUUUCUGCACUUUAUAAAAAUCCCAAAAUAUUAUUUUUAUUGUCUUGAUUGGUUAAAUAAAAGCACAACAGUUUAGUGUCAUGAGUCUCUUGGGAAAACGAUACUUGGACUUAUCAUUUAUUAUUACUUGAACGAUUUGGUACACUUGCCAAUCCGUUAACAAGUUUUUGGCGCCGUUGUCGGGGACUCAUGGUAGAACUAUUCUAUGUGUGUGAUUCUUGAUCGAUUAGACUUUUUUUUUUAUUUGAUCUUAUUUGAUUUGAUUUGAUUUUAUCUUAUUUUGUUUUAUUUUAUUUUAUCUUAUUUUGUUUCAUUUGAUUUGAUUUGAUUUGAUUUGAUUGGAUUUGAUUUGAUUUGAUUUGAUUUGAUUUGAUUUGAUUUUAUUUUAUUUUAUUUUAUUUUUUUAUCUUUCUGUUUUUAUUUCUUUUCUUUUAAAAAAAACGAAAAUAAAAUAAAAUAAUAUCUUUCCUUAUUCUUCUUUUUAUUCUUCUUCACAUUCUUUUCCUCAUUCUUCUCCUUAUCUUUCCAUCUGUCUACCUUUCUAUCUUUUUAUUUAUUUUUCUUUUUAUGUUUUUUAUUUUAUUUUUUGUUUUUUUUUUCUUUCUUUAUCUUUUCAAAAAAAAGAAACGAAAAUUAAAAAAAAAAUUAUCUUUUACUAUUUUUAUUUUUUUAUUUUUUAUUUUUAUUUUGUUUUUUUGGGCUAAUUUUGUGCUCUAGUGUAGUGUUCUUUAGUGUAUGCAGGAUAAAAUUUUUGGUACUAGGAGCACAAGAUUAUCAGGAGGCACAUAAGGAAGGAGAAUUGGUUCACCAACACCCUGAUGUGAAAAGUGACAAACCCUAAUCUGCCACAUCAAUGAAAUUCAAAAUUAGGUUAUGGGUUGUCAAGACUAUUAAAGCAAGCAGAGCUCUUGAGAUUGAGGAUCCUUAGAGUUGGUGACAAGAAAAUUGUUAGUGUCAUGAAGGAAGGAAGAAUGCCAACGUUAAAAAUCAACACCUACUGAUGGGUGUUUGGGCUUUACCGGGUCAAGCUAAUGACGUUAAAGAAGCGUUUGCUAGGAGGCAACCCAGUUUCUAACCUAGUUUCUGAAUUUUUUUUUAUCUUGUAUUUUGUUUUGAUUUGAUUUUAUUUGAUUUUAUUUGAUUUUAUUUUUUAUUUAUUUUAUUGUUUUAGGGUUUUGUGCUGCUUCUGAUGGCAGUGAUGAUUAGCAUCUACUGAUGGAUGCUAUAUGAUUAGACAUCUACUGAUGGAUGUCACUGACAACAUUUAUUGAUAAAUGCCAUUGGGAUAGCAUCUAUUGGGUGAUGUUAGAAGAUGUAGGUAUCUACUGAAGGAUACCAGGAAGGUACACCUACUGAUGGGUGCUAGAAAGGUUAGGGUCAGGCUCGUGACGUUAAACAAGCGCUACUUGGGAGGCAACCCAGUUUUCUAAACUUAUCUUUUUAAAUUAUGUUAUAUUUGCUUCUGUUUUUAGAAUAGGUAUUGAUGUACAUGGUUGGACACUAUAUCUGAUGCAAUGGUUUGAUAUUAAUUUUGCAUGAUGGGUAUUGCUUGAUGAGGCUUUGAUAUUGAUGAAGUUGAGAUUGCACAAUAUGCUGAUAUACAGGUGGUGGUUCACAAGCUGUGUGAACAGAUGCAUUGUAAUUUUGUGAUUGUGAUUAUAAGGCUAAGCAGGGUAUUUAAUUAAAUGAUUGGAAUAAGCUUAUGAGUGAGGUUUGAGCUCCAGAGUUCUGAUUGAUAUAUUUUCUAUCUACUGGAAGCAUGAAUGAUUUUGCCUAAGUUUCUAUGAUUGAUUGAAUUACGUGUAUGUGUCACAUGAUCAAGGCCAUUUUUGAUAAGCCCUUUUCUAAGCCAAAAAUUUCGUCCCACAUGAAAAAGAACAUCUUAUGUUCUACCCUUUUUUAACAUAAGCCUUAAACAAGAUGAAAACCCUUGCUAUGAAAAUCUUUGCCUUGAGUUAGGUUGAGAAAUAUUUUUGGGAUAUUGUUAAAGGUUCAAGUUUGGGGUUGUUGGGAGAAUUGAAAAAGAAAAAGAAAAGUUAAGCAUUGAGCUUAUGAGUUGAAAAGAAAAUGCAUGAGAAAAGAUGAAAAAGAUAGAAAAAGCAAAGCAUGAAAAGAAAAGCUCAAUGUGAAGAAAAGGGAAAGUUGGGAAUGAGUGAGAUUGGUAAAAAGAGAGUUUGUGCUUGGACUAUGAAUGUAUAAUAACUCUCUUAACUCAAGGGUUUUGUGAUCUAGAAAAACCAAUUUUCCUAGUUAGCCCAACCACAUUAUAAGCCUUGAAAAGUCCUUGUGAUGACAUGUGUAUGUGACGAUGUUUGAUUGUGGCAAAUGAAAGGCAAUUUUGUUCUAUGUGACAUGUAGAUAGUAGAGGGAAGGAGUGACCUCUUGAAACACCUGUGUGAUUGAGUGAAACACUUUAUCUGGUGAGGAAUGAUUCCAUGAAUUCAUGAUUACAUCUAUGCUUAGCUAACUGACCAUUCAUGAGAAUAACAUCUGUUGGAUAUUAUGUGAUUAUAUGAACACCACAAUGAGUUAAUUGAAUCAAAGCAUGUGCACAUCUUGACUAAAUUUUAUUGAUGAGUUGAUUUGAUUGAUUACCUAUUUUGAAAGAAAGAGCUUUUGAACGUGAUUGAACCAUUGUGUUGAUUUGUGGAAGACUAAGUUUCAUCUUGUUUGCUUGAGGACAAACAAAGUUUCAAGUUUGGGGUUGUUGAUAAAGGUUCAAAAACAAUUAUUUUCAUACUUAAUUUUAAUAUCAAAUGCACCCUUUUGACUUAGAAACUUGCUUGUUUUUCUUUAGUUUUGUGAAUAAAAGAGUUGAGGACAUGUUUUAUGAUUUUAUCGUUAAAUUCCCUUGAUUUUGUAGGUUUUUGCAAUGAUUUGAAGGAAUGGUUGAAUUAUCAAAUGGUUGGAGUGCAGAAAAGUCAAACAAAAUGCAGAAAAGUCAACCAGUCAACCAAAAAAGUCAACCGGUCAACCAGAAAAGUCAACCAGUUGACCAGAAUGCUGAAAAGUUGACCUGAGUGCAGUUGACCAGCGCCGGGUGGUGAAAUUGAGCGUCGGGCGGUGCUGCGGCUUGAGGGAAACCGCCCGGCGGUGAAAUUAGGCGUCAGGCGGUUGUCAGAUGGGCCUGAACCUGUUUUAUGUUAUUUUUUAUGAUCUAUUUGGGCUUGGGCUUGUUUUAUGUCAUUUUUAUGCCCUAUUUAAAGGCCAGAACGUCUUAGGGUUUGUAUCUUUUGAUAGCUUAGGCACAGAAACACACUUUUCACCCCUUUGGGGUAGAUUUGGAGAUGGUGACAGCUCUCCUUUUCUCCUUUUUAGGGUUUGUAUCUCUUUCAUUCGAUUCUUCACCUAGUUUCUCCAUGACGAUGGGAAACUAAUCUUAUUUGUUGUUGGGGAAACAAUGUAAUCUUUUGAUACUCUCUUUUAUUGAAACUCUUGUUUAUUUAUAUGGUUUCCAUAUGCUUUGAUUAUUAAUUGUUGGGUUCUCAUCUGUGCUUAAUGCUUUUAUCGUUUAACUCAUUCGAUAACUNUUGNUUGUNUNNAUNNAUACGGGGACGUACAGUAAUGUCAUGAACUGGUGAGUGAUUCCUUGAUUAACCAAUACCACCUAGGGAUAAGGGUAGGACGAUCAAUUGUUUUUCACUUCUGCUCUAUAAUGCAUUAUUAAUUGCUAGGGGAGGCUAAGGAUAGCAAGCCAGUAAUUAGUAAUAGGCUCUUUUCGCCGAGGGAUCGGGUUAAGGGUAGGCCAAGAAGGUUGCAUAACAAUUAGUAAAUCAAGCAAAUAAAUCAAGAGGAGUAAAUAAGAGAGAGCGGAUAAGAUGAAAUUGUAAACCCCCAACAACUCCAUUCAUCCAUCCAAUUUUGUGUUUAACCUCAAUUGAUCAAAUUGCAAUCAUGUUUAUUUUUCUGCACUUUAUAAAAAUCCCAAAAUAUUAUUUUUAUAGUCUUGAUUGGUUAAGCAAAAGCACAACAGUUUAGUGUUGUGAGUCUCUUGGGAAAACGGUACUUGGACUUACCAUUUAUUAUUACUUGAAGGAUUUGGUACACUUGUCAAUCCGUUAACAGGGUCUACCGCCCGGCGGUUUGCCUCUAAUCGCAAAUCUUCCCAGCGCCCACGCCAUAUGCCUAUUCCUCGCACUGGACCGCCCGACGGUGUAAUUUUCCGCCGGGCGGUACGUCGACUCCUCAUUUCUUCAUUUUUCUUCCCUUUUCUUGAGUCUACGACCUUCAUCUUCAACUCCAUUCUUCACUUUCUCAAAAAUGCUACAAAACAAUGCAAAACAAGGA